Hemicordylus capensis (graceful crag lizard) is the source of this 1211-nucleotide long non-coding RNA. RefSeq lists it as uncharacterized. The record is from RefSeq and is a predicted model, not a curated record. NCBI's taxonomy places the organism in Eukaryota, Metazoa, Chordata, Lepidosauria, Squamata, Cordylidae. The transcript has 4 exons.
GGCAGUGGGAAUUCCAUAUACAGACAGGGAGGAGGAGCCUGUGAUGGUUAAGGAGAAGGCAUAAUCUCCCUAAACGCCAACCUGGAGGCAGUAAUGGGCUGGAUGAGGGAUAACAAACCGAGGAUGAAUCCAGAUAAGACGGAGGAGAAAUCCUGCUGCAGGCUUGUGCUUAGAGUCCUGCCAGGGAGCUGUAUGUAACCUUGUUUAGUACAACAGUUACCAAUACCAAUAUGUGUGUGGAGACGAAAUGAGUAAUCAAGAUUCAACAGAGACAACGCAGAAUUUGUCAUCUUUUGAAUUGCUACAUACCACUUGCAUAAUCUGAGAGAACAGCAAGCGAGUGCGAGACCAUGCCUGCACCACUGCGGCAGCGUGCAAAGAGCCGGGCUUGGUAGCUAGCUGGCUGCCCUGCCUUGACCAAGAAGUGAAGUUGCUGACCUGGCUGAGGAGAGCAGGCUGGGUGACCAUUGGGGAAGGAGGACAAAGGACCGCGUGUGUGUGGCAAACCUAACCAGGAGAUGAAUUUAAGGGUCAGAAGCAGGGGCCUUGAGAACUCUGCAUUUAUAUAAUACCAAUAAACAUAUGCAAAUUUUAUGCAAAAUGGAGACUUUCUGCAGACCUGUUUUUGGUGAAAAGCAUCCUCUAUUUCCACUUUUUUGGUGAUGGAUAUUGACUUUUCUCACCGUCUGGACCUGGCAGCCCUAUGCGUUACCUGGAUCUGUACAUACUCAAGCAUCAGAGCCCUCUUUACGGACAGAAGGGAACAGAGGUGCACAGCAUUGGCCCCUGUGAUUGGCAGGCACUACAAAGCCUCUGGCCUGGCCAGUCCUAAUAUAAAUACCCUGAAUCUAGCCUUCUGCUUGUCUGGUCAACAGAACAGAAACUUCUGCCUGCUAUUUGGCAGUGCCUGACUCCAGUAAAAGACAGCAGGAAUUGGGGAGCAGGGUGUAAAAGCCUUACUUGAGAUUUGUCCAUCCACAGCCUUGGCCAUGCUCUGCUACAGCUUCGACUGCAGUGCUAACAACCACCAUUUCUAACUACAAACAACUUGGGGGGGAAAAACCGAGAUUAGCAGCUGCUAUUGUCCUUCCUUUAACUUGCACUCCAUCCCUGAUGCACUUCCUGUAGUCUUCCAUCUGGUGCUGGGCACCUGAACUUUACCUGUAUUGCCUUAAAAGCACAUGAGAUUGAUUACAAAGUACAAUGCAAAC